RNAcentral lists this non-coding RNA (201 nucleotides) under Catenibacterium sp. Its description in RNAcentral is "T-box sequence". It matches the Rfam family "T-box leader". Rfam says of the family: Uncharged tRNA acts as the effector for transcription antitermination of genes in the T-box leader family. T-boxes are found upstream of many aminoacyl-tRNA synthetase genes and some amino acid biosynthetic genes usually in Gram-positive bacteria. Lineage: Bacteria; Bacillati; Bacillota; Erysipelotrichia; Erysipelotrichales; Coprobacillaceae. The record is from RNAcentral.
AUAAAAACAGAGAAAUGACAUAGUAAAGAAAUGUGAGGCAUAAGAGAUAUGAUGGCUGGUGCGAAUCAUACGCAGACAUUCUUGAAUUCACCAUGGAGUUGGAAGUACAAAAUACUUCCCGGGUUGCCCGUUAUCGCUAUUUAGUGAGGUUAGUCUAUGACUAAUGAACUAGAGGUGGUACCGCGAUAAUUCGCCCUCUUG